This 459-nucleotide ribosomal RNA is filed under the name uncultured bacterium. Its description in RNAcentral is "partial 16S ribosomal RNA". It matches the Rfam family "Bacterial small subunit ribosomal RNA", at positions 338 to 795 of the family's 1533-position model. The record is from RNAcentral.
CCUACGGGAGGCAGCAGUGAGGAAUAUUGGUCAAUGGCCGGAAGGCUGAACCAGCCAAGCCGCGUGAAGGACGAAGGUGCCAAGCAUUGUAAACUUCUUUUGUCAAGGGACAAAAUCAGGCUCGAGAGCCUGCCCGAGGGCACUUGAAGCCAACGCAUCGGCUAACUCCGUGCCAGCAGCCGCGGUACUCCGGGGGGUGCGAGCGUUAUCCGGUUUUAUUGGGGUUAAGGGGUGCGUAGGCGGACUGUUAAGCCAGCGGUAAAGGCCCGGGGCUCACCCGCGGCGGGCCGUGGAAACUGGCUGGCUUGAGAGGGCGAGAGGUAUGCGGAAUGCGCAGGGUAGCGGGGAAAUGCUGAGAUAUUGGGAAGAACACCGAUGGCGAAGGCAGCAUACCGGCGGGGGUCUGACGCUGAGGCACGAAAGCGUGGGUAUCGAACAGGAUUAGAUACCCGAGUAGUC